UGCGAAGGAACGCAGACUAAGAACGCCGCGUCCUGUGGCAGCGUCUGCAUGACCCCCAUCCUGGGGG
RNAcentral lists this small RNA (67 nucleotides) under Cytobacillus firmus. RNAcentral's name for it is "Bacillus firmus Bacillaceae-1 RNA". It matches the Rfam family "Bacillaceae-1 RNA". RNAcentral also lists the same sequence under 1 other name. The record is from RNAcentral. Lineage: Bacteria; Bacillati; Bacillota; Bacilli; Caryophanales; Bacillaceae.